CACUCAAUGUUGGCCCUCCUCAGGAAUGGGCUCCCUUUGCAACGAUGGGUUCCCUUCCUAAGCGUUCAGUGAUGGGGGCCAGAUGAGCUCCUUGAGACCUUCAAAGAGACCUUCCUUGGCUGGGAGGAUAGGAGAUGGGCAGGGCCAAGUCUGCACCCUUCCCUCCGGGUCUAGAUGUAGUUGGGAGUAGCAAGGGCUGGGGACGAGAGAGAAGGGACGUCCAAAGAUGUGGUAGCAUCUUGGAGGUGACUGCCCCCGCACCCUGCAGAGCUGUCGCUGGCUGUCAGAGGAGGGGGUGACCUCAGCACCCUGUUCGGUCAGGGGAGCCUGAGUCGGAGGCCUAGAGACUCGAAGGAAGUUCCUUAGGGCAUAAGCUGAUAGGUGGGAGUCACAGGAGCCCGAAACGGGGUUCCUUGAGCUGCUGGAAUGUGACGUGACGGGUGCCAAACAGCCCCUUCUCCUUACUCUCCAGGCUGGUCUCCAUCCUGCUUGGCUUGAAGUUCCCAGGCUUGGAGUCAGUGAAAGGGUGCCUGCUAGCUGCUAAUCUCAGCUCCAGAAGAUCCUAGUUAACUCUGCUUCCCUGGCUCACCUCCUGACAUCCAGGAAUGCAGAAUCCUCUGGCCAGGACUCCAGGGCUCAGUGAUUCUUCCUAAGAACCAUGAUCUCCCAGGAAUGGUGUGAACAGCUUGACUUCCACUCACAUUGAGGCUGCCUGGUCUUAGUAGUCCACAUGGGACCCUGAGAAACAGUGGCCAGGACCAUGUCCAAGGAGUAGCUGCUAUGGACGCAGCCGCCAUCGUUUCAGUGGGACUGAGCUCCAUCCUCACGAGAGAAGGGAGACGGAUUGGAGUCCUCUUGGCCCAUAGAGCAUUGCAGUUACUUGAAAAAAUGCACGCAGUGGAAAGAAAUGGAAUGUUACGUUUAUCUAGCACCUCAUGGCUCAGUGGUAAAGAAUUGCCUACCAGUGCAGGAGACUCAGGAGAUGUGGGUUGGGUCCCUGGGUCGUGAAGAUCCCCUGAAGAAGGAAAUGGCAACCCACUCCAGUAUUCUUGCCUAGAGAAUCCCGUGAACAGAGGACUCUGUGGGCCUGGUUGCCAUAGGGCUGCUAAGAGUCAGACACAACUGAGUGACUGAAAUGCACACCACACGAUAUGUUACAAAUCACUUCAAUAUUCAGUAUAUGCUCCAAUAAUCCUCACAGGAGAUGGAGAGGGGUGUUAUAAUUGUUUCUAGUUCUUUAGAUGAAGAUGCUGAAGCUCAGAUAUGAUAAGUAAAUUUUCCAAGGUGAUGCAGCUAGGAAGUGGCUGGAUGGGAUGCAGCUGGCAUGCAAAUCCAGUUGUUCAGAUCUCAACCCCACCACUCUAUCUAUUAGAGCCAAGCUUCUCAAAAUUUUCAAUUGUGAAUGAAUCACCUGGGCAUCUUGUUAAAACUGUAGGUUCUGGGACUUCCCCAGUGGUACAGUGGAUAAGAACGUGCCUGCCGAUGCAGGGGGUAUGGGUUUUAUCCCUGGUCUGGGAAGAUUCCACAUGUGGUGGAGCAACUAAGCCCAAGCACCACAAUCACUGAAGCCUGUGCUCUAGAGCCCGGGAGCCACAACCACUGAGCCCGUGUGCUGCAACUACUGAAGCCCAGGCGUCUAGAGCCGGGGCUCCACAAC
Molecule: long non-coding RNA, 1657 nt
Organism: Bos taurus (domestic cattle)
Lineage: Eukaryota; Metazoa; Chordata; Mammalia; Artiodactyla; Bovidae
Source: Ensembl